Long non-coding RNA from Tripterygium wilfordii, 384 nucleotides. RefSeq lists it as uncharacterized. The record is from RefSeq and is a predicted model, not a curated record. NCBI's taxonomy places the organism in Eukaryota, Viridiplantae, Streptophyta, Magnoliopsida, Celastrales, Celastraceae. The transcript has 3 exons.
UUUUAAAACCCCAAUUCCCGCCGAAGUCGAUCACGAUCCGCUCCAACUGUGGCAUUCCAUAUCACAACAAUUAAUGUCUCAUCCUCAGCCAUUAUAACGAAGCUUGGUUACACGAGUCUUUUGCUUUCAAUGCAAACUGUGAUCUCCGCCGAUAAGAAUCCUCAAAAUUUGGUUAGAAGCAGCUUGUGAGAUCGCCUCCCAACCCAAGGAAGUUGGAGAUGCAAAGAGACAAUUGAGUGAAGAGCCUUUCUGCUCAAGCUCUCAACAGUGUCUGCAGGUCAAAAGAGAAACAAAGGACCACUUGCUCAACGUGUUCCAGCACUUCAAAAAGGGGGUACACUGGGCCAUGUUCUGGUAUGUUAAACCGCCACUGUUGAAUCUUUA